Long non-coding RNA from Cyprinus carpio carpio, 1812 nucleotides. The record is from Ensembl. Lineage: Eukaryota; Metazoa; Chordata; Actinopteri; Cypriniformes; Cyprinidae.
GACCACCAUUUGCCUCACGCAGUGCAACACAUCUCCUUCGCAUAGAGUUGAUCAGGUUGUUGAUUGUGGCCUGUGGAAUGUUGGUCACCUCCUCUUCAAUGGCUGUGCGAAGUUGCUGGAUAUUGGCAGGAACUGAAACAUGCUGUCGUAUACGUCGAUCCAGAGCAUCCCAAACACAUGUCUGAACUGUGCUGAGAUGUCUCUGACAUAUUUUGCUCAGGAGGAACAUCUGCAAACCAGUGAGACUUUAACUAAAGUUUCAGCUCCCUAUCUCUCUCCAUCUCUCUCUCUCUUUCUCUUUGUCUAUUAAAAUGUAUUAAAUACAGUAUUUGUCAAAUGAUCCUUCACCGAAAAUUUGAUUGACAGGCAAUCUGACCAAUCAUAACACUGAAUCUUCCAGUUUGUCUGACAAACAGAACUACAGCCAUCUGUCAUGACACUUUAAAGACCCAGAAAAUGCUAUUUAUUGUUUGAAUUUCUUUAAAAAAUGAAAGCUGAGACUUCAUACCAAAAGUCACCUGCUGUGUCUUGUCUGUAGGUGCAUUGUCAGUUUAUUUUCCAUUCCGUCAGAACAUGAUGUGUGGCGAGAGAGCACCAUGGCUUGUCAGGCAUUGCAAUUGUAACUAAGGGAGGCAGGUCUUUGAGAAGGGUCAGUUGAAUAUUUAAUUGUGCAUGCUAAUUUCACCCUUUUUUACAUUUAGAUUACCACUGCCAUUAUUUUAAAGCCAGUGGCGGGCUAUUCAUUUCACACGUAGGCCUUCAGUGGUGUCCUAAAUGAAUUAAUCCACCUCUUAAGACCAUCACAAUGACGCCACGGCUAUAGAAACCAUAAAUAUUAUACAGAAAUGUAGAAUAACAGAGCACUGCAUCAGAGAUAGGUGUCUUAUGUAGUGAAUGCCAUUACUAAAGCAAGAAACACAAUUAACACAAUUCAACAAUUUGUGCAACAUGCAUCAUCUCUGUCUGAAGCAUUAACCUAACAAAAUGACAGAAAUAUAGUCCACCCGAUGUUCUUACAAACAUUUAUUAACGGAAACAUAUUUAUACCUUACAACUUAACAUUGCCAUAAAACAAAUAAGGUGUUUUAAAGUUGACCGAAAAAUUUAACCUACUCAUAACGGCUUUUCUUCUUCACGAGUCUCCCCACUGUUCUGCUAGCGUGCUGUGGGAGGAAAAUACUAGUUAGCACAGAUUUACUGGGAAAGUGAGCAUGUGCAUUAAAAUAAUUCAUACAAGAGGAUGAAGAAAAGUGUAUACAUGUGUUUUAAAGUAUACCUGCCAAUUUAAUGUACCCCAGGACUCCUCUUCCUGACAAUUAUUCCCUCCGGUCUGCCAGUGCCGCUACGGUCGGGAGGAAAAGGCCGUUUUUUCUUCUUCUUCUUCUUCUUCUUCUUGGUGAGACUUAUAGCACAAUUGUACAGUUUAUUGCACUAUAAUUCUCUACUUGUUUUUGUUGAAAAUCAGUCUUAGAAGAACUCGACUCUCUAUUGUGCAAGUAUGUAUCAUGGUUAAAUUUGUGAUUCAUGUGUUUGUUGAAUGUGCACGUGAUGUAUGUAAAUUAUCCCGAGGGGAAGCUAUCCUAAUUUCAUUGUACGUGUGUAUUAUGACAAUAAAAGGCAUUCAUUGAUACAGAUUGACUCAGAAAUUAAGCGCUCGUUAGAUAUUCUUACAGAAACUUAAACGUGGCUUUAUUUUUUGCAAAUAACAUCAGAAUACAAUGCAUAAAGUGAUAAAAAAGUCAAAAAUGUAAAUUAAAUUAAAAUGUGGAUUUUUAUUUUUAUACUGUUUUUAUAUUUACUGUAGGCGAACAU